RNAcentral lists this long non-coding RNA (205 nucleotides) under Elaeis guineensis (African oil palm). RNAcentral's name for it is "long non-coding RNA (EGUI_LNC060864)". The record is from RNAcentral. Lineage: Eukaryota; Viridiplantae; Streptophyta; Magnoliopsida; Arecales; Arecaceae.
GGCGUGCAUGCAAAGUAGAGGAUCUGCGCAUCCAGACCUCUGUGAAGGUUUAUUUCAGAUUUUUGGAGAUUUGAUCUCUUAUUCCAUUGCUAUCCAAGGAAGGUUUUGAUCCUUAUUCAUAUAAAUUUAUAGAAAAUUUAUAGAUACAACCUGGGCUAUUCGAAGAGAAAUAAUUUUUCUUUCCUUCACCUUGUACGAAAGAUCG